AACGAAACGUGGCUGAAUUUAAGCGAAAGGUUUUUAAUCUUUUCAUAGUCCAG
Molecule: transfer RNA, 53 nt
Filed under: Oniscus asellus
Lineage: Eukaryota; Metazoa; Arthropoda; Malacostraca; Isopoda; Oniscidae
Description: tRNA-Lys
Source: RNAcentral